GAUGAACGCUGGCGGCGUGCCUAAUACAUGCAAGUCGAGCGAACAGAUGAGGAGCUUGCUCCUCUGACGUUAGCGGCGGACGGGUGAGUAACACGUGGAUAACCUACCUAUAAGACUGGGAUAACUUCGGGAAACCGGAGCUAAUACCGGAUAAUAUAUUGAACCGCAUGGUUCAAUAGUGAAAGACGGUUUUGCUGUCACUUAUAGAUGGAUCCGCGCCGCAUUAGCUAGUUGGUAAGGUAACGGCUUACCAAGGCAACGAUGCGUAGCCGACCUGAGAGGGUGGUCGGAAACCGGGAACAGGAAACAGGCCCCAGCCUCCGCGGGGGGGCGGCAGGGGGGAUUCUUCAGGAAGGGGCAAAGGCCGGACGGAGCAACGCGGGGGGGGUGAGAAAGUUUGUCGUAGCGAAAAACUGUGUUAUGGGGAAAAAAAAAAUGUGAAAGAAAAAAUGCACGUCUGAAGGGUCCCUAAUAAAAAAGCCACGCCUAACUACGGC
Molecule: ribosomal RNA, 497 nt
Filed under: uncultured bacterium
Lineage: Bacteria
Description: partial 16S ribosomal RNA
Rfam family: Bacterial small subunit ribosomal RNA
Source: RNAcentral